Molecule: ribosomal RNA, 450 nt
Filed under: uncultured Ochrobactrum sp.
Lineage: Bacteria; Pseudomonadati; Pseudomonadota; Alphaproteobacteria; Hyphomicrobiales; Brucellaceae
Description: partial 16S ribosomal RNA
Source: RNAcentral
CACGAAGUUAGCCGGGGCUUCUUCUCCGGUUACCGUCAUUAUCUUCACCGGUGAAAGAGCUUUACAAUCCUAAGACCGUCAUCACUCACGCGGCAUGGCUGGAUCAGGCUUGCGCCCAUUGUCCAAUAUUCCCCACUGCUGCCUCCCGUAGGAGUCUGGGCCGUGUCUCAGUCCCAGUGUGGCUGAUCAUCCUCUCAGACCAGCUAUGGAUCGUCGCCUUGGUAGGCCUUUACCCCACCAACUAGCUAAUCCAACGCGGGCUCAUCCUUUGCCGAUAAAUCUUUCCCCAAAAGGGCACAUACGGUAUUAGCACAAGUUUCCCUGAGUUAUUCCGUAGCAAAAGGUAGAUUCCCACGCGUUACUCACCCGUCUGCCGCUCCCCUUGCGGGCGCUCGACUUGCAUGUGUUAAGCCUGCCGCCAGCGUUCGUUCUGAGCCAGGAUCAAACUCU